GGAGGGAUGGCAGAGUGGUUUAUUGCACCGGUCUUGAAAACCGGCGAGGGUUCACGCCCUCCGUGGGUUCGAAUCCCACCUCCUCCGCCA
RNAcentral lists this transfer RNA (90 nucleotides) under Alteromonadaceae bacterium. RNAcentral's name for it is "tRNA-Ser". It matches the Rfam family "tRNA". Rfam says of the family: Transfer RNA (tRNA) molecules are approximately 80 nucleotides in length. Their secondary structure includes four short double-helical elements and three loops (D, anti-codon, and T loops). Further hydrogen bonds mediate the characteristic L-shaped molecular structure. tRNAs have two regions of fundamental functional importance: the anti-codon, which is responsible for specific mRNA codon recognition, and the 3' end, to which the tRNAs corresponding amino acid is attached (by aminoacyl-tRNA synthetases). tRNAs cope with the degeneracy of the genetic code in two manners: having more than one tRNA (with a specific anti-codon) for a particular amino acid; and 'wobble' base-pairing, i.e. permitting non-standard base-pairing at the 3rd anti-codon position. The record is from RNAcentral. Lineage: Bacteria; Pseudomonadati; Pseudomonadota; Gammaproteobacteria; Alteromonadales; Alteromonadaceae.